This 446-nucleotide ribosomal RNA is filed under the name uncultured bacterium. Its description in RNAcentral is "bacterial SSU rRNA". It matches the Rfam family "Bacterial small subunit ribosomal RNA", at positions 28 to 356 of the family's 1533-position model. The record is from RNAcentral.
GAUGAACGCUGGCGGCGUGCUUAACACAUGCAAGUCGAGCGGGCAAUUUAUCUAGCACUGAUUACUUCAAAUGGAAAUCAUAAGUGUAAUCAUGAAUUUCUACCUUUAAUAAAGAAAAAAGAAAUUCAUGUACGCAAAUAGUGAUAACACAUUUUAGUGGAGUGAUGAGUGCUGGAUAAAUUGCUAGCGGCGGACGGGUGCGUAACACGUGGGUAACCUGCCCCUAUCACUGGGAUAACACACUGAAAAGUGUGCUAAUACCAGAUAACAUAAGCUUUUGGCAUCAUUAGCUUAUCAAAGAAUUUCGGAUAGGGAUGGGCCCGCGUCUGAUUAGCUAGUUGGUGAGGUAACGGCUCACCAAGGCAACGAUCAGUAGCCGACCUGAGAGGGUGAUCGGCCACACUGGAACUGAGACACGGUCCAGACUCCUACGGGAGGCAGCAGUG